Molecule: long non-coding RNA, 1850 nt
Organism: Anguilla rostrata (American eel)
Lineage: Eukaryota; Metazoa; Chordata; Actinopteri; Anguilliformes; Anguillidae
Exons: 3
Source: RefSeq, a predicted model, not a curated record
CCAGAAAACGAUGUCAGCUAGGUCUAUCAGCAAACAUAUGGCUUAGCUAUGCCAAGAAGUCCUCAAUAAUAAUAGUAUUUUCCAAGAAAUUACGACAAAUCGUUAACAACGUUUCGUUAGGUGCAGGUAUUUUACUGCUACCACAUGUGAACGCGUAAGUGAAUUUGAUGAGUUCAAAACUUUCGAUUACGUUGACAAAACGAUUCCAAAAAAUUAGACAUGUUAUACAUCGUUAGAAAGCAAAUACUCUCACCUAUUGAAUAAAUGGAUUGUCAUUGAAGUCAGACUGUACUGAAAAAGGGCGACAACGCCGGAAACAACACGUGUGGCUGGUAUUACACACAACUAUUGGAAGAUACCCAUGCAUCACAAAUGCGCCCUCUCUAAGCCGUUUGUCCGUUCUGGGCUACUGUAGUAGAAACAUGGCGGUGCAACAUGGUGGCGCUGUGGAAGAGGACCCGCUCCCUAUGUAGAUAAAAGGGCACAUUCUAAGCCUGAUGGGUCUCCAGCCUUGAUAUCAAGGACCCGCACACAUUCUGUUACCAGGUGGUGACUGGCCCACGCCAUUCAUGACACACUGUCUCUCCCUCUAGGACAUUUCUCAGAAUGAUAACACCCCAUCAUUUCAUGGCCUCCCAGCCUCCGAAUCAUGAAUUUGGAGCCCCAUCGCCGCGGCAGAAACUCCGCUUCAGCCAAGAAAUCCUUCCAAAGGCCCCGGCUGUGUGUAAGGCAGUGUGUGCAGCGUUGGGUCUUCCUCUGCAGAGAUCGCAUGAGGGGCCAGCGGGGGCUGAGCGCUCCCAUCGCUGUGCCAGAUCACCCAUCCCUGUGAUGACACACAGCCUCCAGAACCCUGAGGAGUAGAUGUGGACGCACAACACCGAGGAGAGAAUCAAUACUCUAGGAAGCUCUUGUUUCUGAAGGGCCUUUGAUUACUAUGAUUUUUUUUUUUUUUACAAAGAUUUGCAGAAUAUUUAAACGGCCUCACCAAGUGUUUGAAAGCAAAUGUUUUUGGAGUGUGUUUGACUAACCACUUAGAGAUCUUUAAGACCUGUAUUUCCACUUUGAGGUGAAAAAUAAAUUCUGUUGUUCAAACCACUUAUUUUUUAUACUUUUCAUGAGAUCAUUUUCAUGCAGUACAUCAAAACUGGUUGAGUUUUUACUCCCAAUAUGAGCUACUUACCAUUAUUCACAACCUAAUGCCAUCAAUCACAUGAACAGUAUUCACGUGUUACUAAUUUUAUUUUAGCAACAAUUUUACAUUAGCAGUUUACUGUACCACAGUGACAUUAGCAUCCAUCUCCUCACUCCCAUUGAUACCCAUACAUUUAGCUGGAAAGUGGAUGACCCAGUUUCUGUAAAAUACAGACUAGCACUAGGAAUGUGGUCAGCAGUAGAGAUGUGGGAACCAUUUCUGUUCUGUAGCCUGAGGGCACUCUUUUGAUGCAGGUGGUGCAGUGAUGUAAUUCCGCAACUGAUAUCUCCCACUGCCUCCAAGAGCCUGAGAAACAUUGCACUGAACCCAUUGCACUGGCCCACAUGUCUGGGGUGAUGGGUUUUAACGGCAUCCUUAUAGAGAAGGAAAUGAAAUAUACUACUUGCUUGUAAAAAAGAGAUAAAAAUCAAUAAUAAAUAUUAGCACACAUGAUGGGAACAGUGAAAUGCUGUGAGCUACACCUCUUUUGUUCUGUGCUUUAGAUAUUUGAGAUGCCUGUGUGACAGCGUUAGCAACAUGCUGACCUCACAUGUUUUAUUUCGGAACAUCCUGGUAUGGCUUCUGUAGUCGGAACAGAAGCUUCCGUACUUUUUGUCCAAUGCCAUAUGGAAAGCAUUCAUUCUCCAGUGAGAACUCA